GCCAGGCAUGGUGGCUCAUGCCUGUAAUCCCAGCACUUUGGGAGGCUGAGGCAGGUGGAUCACCUGAGGUCAGGAGUUCAAGACCAGCCUGGCCAACAUGGUGAAACCCCGUCUCUA
This is an unclassified non-coding RNA of Pongo abelii (Sumatran orangutan), 117 nucleotides long. It matches the Rfam family "Metazoan signal recognition particle RNA". From Rfam's summary of the family: The signal recognition particle (SRP) is a universally conserved ribonucleoprotein. The record is from Ensembl. NCBI's taxonomy places the organism in Eukaryota, Metazoa, Chordata, Mammalia, Primates, Hominidae.